This 287-nucleotide ribosomal RNA is filed under the name Candida albicans. RNAcentral describes it as "partial 28S ribosomal RNA". It matches the Rfam family "Eukaryotic large subunit ribosomal RNA", at positions 1 to 281 of the family's 3401-position model. The record is from RNAcentral. Lineage: Eukaryota; Fungi; Ascomycota; Pichiomycetes; Serinales; Debaryomycetaceae. RNAcentral also lists the same sequence under 1 other name.
UUUGACCUCAAAUCAGGUAGGACUACCCGCUGAACUUAAGCAUAUCAAUAAGCGGAGGAAAAGAAACCAACAGGGAUUGCCUCAGUAGCGGCGAGUGAAGCGGCAAAAGCUCAAAUUUGAAAUCUGGCGUCUUUGGCGUCCGAGUUGUAAUUUGAAGAAGGUAUCUUUGGGCCCGGCUCUUGUCUAUGUUCCUUGGAACAGGACGUCACAGAGGGUGAGAAUCCCGUGCGAUGAGAUGACCCGGGUCUGUGUAAAGUUCCUUCGACGAGUCGAGUUGUUUGGGGAAU